GGAUUUCAAGGAUGUAUUAUUUGUGUAUAAAGAAAUGGUGAAAGUAGGAAUUGUUCCCAACGUGGAGACUUUGAAUUACUUGUUGGAAGCGCUGUUAGAGGAUGAUAGGGUGGGUACAGCUUUGGAACAAUAUAGAAGGAUGAAUAAGAAAGGGUGUAGUCCUAAUAGUAGGACCUUCGAGGUUCUCAUUAGUGGACUUAUUGCCAGGGAAAGGAUCGAUGAAUCUUUGCUUCUUUUAGAUGAAAUUUUUGAACUUAGGUGUGAGGUGGAUUUGAGCUUUUACACUCGGAUAGUACCGCUGCUUUGCCAGAUUAAUAAAUGUGAGGCAGGGAUGAUGUUACUUGUGAAGAUGAAAGCUUCAAAAAUUUCUCCAGAUUCUUCAACUUAUGGAGCUAUGAUAAUAUGUUUAUGCCAGAAUCUUUAUGUGGAUGAAGCUGUCAACCUUUUUGAAGAGAUGGUGGGCAGCGGAAUAACUCCAGAGGAUGAUCUCUAUGUGGAUAUUGUGAAGGGAUUUUGUACAUUAUGUAAAUUUAGUGAAGCAAAGAAGUUUUUAGUAGAUAAUGAUGUUGAUAUAACUUGUCCUUACAAUGCACUUCUUGGAGCUUAUUGCAGUUAUGGUAAUCUUGCGGCAGCAAAAGAUCUGUUUGAUGAUAUGUUUGAGAGGAGUUUAACUGAUAGCUUGUCUUGGAAUUUCUAUAUUCGGUGCCUAUGUGAGAUUGGCGAUAUCAAGAAAGCCUUGGAAGUUCUUUGUAGAAUGAUUGUUUUUUCAUUUCUUCCUGACUCUAUCACUUACUCCGCUCUUAUCAUUGGCAGAUGCAAGCAGGAUGAACUUGAUGAUGCUAUACUGUUGUUCAAUCAGGUCCAGCAGAAGUGUGAUGUUUUGGAUUCUGUAUCCUAUGCUGAACUUGUUAGAUGCCUUUCUUAUAAUGAAAAGAUUCAAGAGGCUGCUGAAGUUUAUUGUUAUAUGUCAGGAAAGCAAGUAGCUUUGCAGUCAACCUCUUUUGAUUUGUUCAUUAAGGGGCUUUGUGCAAUAAGAGAAGUCGAGAGUGCAAUCAGGUUUCUAUCUCUUGCUCAUUGUUCUGGUACAUCGUACUCGUCUGUAGCUUACUACAGCAUAAUGCGAGUUUUAUCCAAGUUAGAAAAGGCAGAUGACCUUUUAGUGGUAUUAUCACGAAUGAUUGUAGAUGGUUGUCCUGUUGAGGAAGAAACUUAUUUUAUCCUCAUAGAAAGUAUGAGUCUAGCUGAUAAUCCAGACCAUUGUGCUCGGUUUUUCAAUGUGAUGCUCAGCAAGGGUUUAUUACCCAACUCCGAAACACUAACUACUGCACUGUCUUGUUUAGACAAGCAUUCUCAAAUACACAUGAUUUUGAGUGCUAUGGAUCAGCUUAUCCCUUGUUCUAAUAUUCUUGGUUCCAGUACCUAUAACAUGCUCAUCAGGGGCCUUUUGAAAGAAGGAUAUAGGAGUGCAGCUGGUCGCUUGCUAGAUGUAAUGUUGGGGAAGGGUUGGAUUCCUAGUACUGAAACUCAUCAAUUACUGGUUGGUUCUGUUGUAAAAGAGGAAUCAGAAGUAAGAGCAUAUAUGAGCGAAAAUUUUGGUCCGCAGGAUGAGGUUAGCAGCAUACUUGAAAAUGCAUUGGCUCAAACAUAACCUGAUUCCAUAUAUCAACACUAUCAUUGGCCGUUGUUGAAUGUCUCCAUUAAGUGCGAUUGUGAAAGCCUCUGUAAGACUUGUAGAUUUCAUCUCAGACUUCAGUGCUAUAAAAGGUAUGCUAUGUUCACACAGCACAUAACUUUGCUUCACGUGGCAUGGGUACUUAACAAAUUGUUCUUCUGACAGUCUUACAUGCACUUAAUAUGUUGGUACAUACUCCACCAAAUUUUAAAAAAUUUUUUUUUUUUGUGUUUUUAAUUUCUUUAGUGGUAGGGCUGGUGUCGGUGUCAGGUCCUGAUUAUGACACUUCAGUGGAUACUGUCAAGUUGUUUUUCGGAUGCUUCUUUGUUGUAUACGUUCUUUGCGGGGAUGUUUCUCAUCAACUCAUGCUCUAUUACAAAUGUACUGAAUUUUGAAGGAAGUUGCUAGAUGGGAAAGUUGUAGGAGCUCUUUGGAAAGAGAUUCUUUUGGAAAGUCAUCUGUACUUGGAACGUCUGGAAUUACUGUUGUACAAGGCAUAAAGGCUUUUGGUUCAUUCGUCCCGGAUAAGAUAAUUAUGUCGUGGAAACUGAUAAUGAUAGGUAUGCUUGCUGAUAGUUUACGUGAAAUUAAUUAAGAGCUACAAGCUUGCGAUGUGGCCUUUUACAUCAUGCACUGGAGGUUAAGGUAAAAGGGACUUGAAUGAAGACGGUUUAGAUAAUACUUACUUUUUUGGGAGGAAUUAGAAGGUACAAUGAAGUAAGGGGACACUUUUGAGCAGCCAAAAGGAUGAGCCAGUUAUCACCUGAACUCCUAAACCUGGGAGUUAAAUUAAAGGUAAAAAAUCUACAUACAACAGAAUUUACAGAACGAAUGACAGGCAGCUGACAGCAGAUUGUUCAAGGCAUAUGCAAUUUGCAGAGUAUGAAAGAUACGGCAACUGGAUUGGAUCAAUGAAAAUUUUGUGGUAUGCUGGUUAUAUCUUGUAUGUAUAGUAUAAUUGAGCUAUAUUGAAGCAUGUUUAAAGCAGGUCCAACAUUGUUAUUAUGUUGAUCCUUCUUCUAGAUGCAUGUGUACACUCAAGUGGGAAAAAAUUGUGCGAGCUUCUGAUGGCAACCUGCUUCACUUGUAUCUAUUGUAAUGACAUAAAUCAUGGCAUAGUUGUCAAUGACUAGCUCUUGUGAUGUCUGUGAGAAGGUUUAAUGUUUUUGAAUCUUCAGACUAGAAUUAUUAUUAUUAUUAUUAUUAUUUUUGGCUGCCUCUGUGGAGUAGUUGGGAAUUUUCGUGAUUGUUGUACGUGGAAUUUCCACGUAUCAUGUUCACUUUUCUUGUGAAAGGGCAAAAUCUGAACCGUGUAGCGUGUCUGCAUUGAGGUUAAGGCUUGCUCUUUGGGACGGAUAAAUGCAGCUAGUUUGGUUUAGAUUCUGGAUUAAUGACUUAAACAGAAGUAGUCUGGUGGACAUGGUCCUGUGCUUAUCAUUCUUCUCCUAGUCUCUGGGAUUUCAUGCUGUGUAAUUUGUAUCUUCUGGCUUCAGCUGGGAUUUUGGAUCAUUCUUGCCUAGUCUUUGUGGUGGUGUACUUUGUUUCUUUAGCUGGGAUUAUGAUGACAACAUAACCUCGUAAUGCGAGCUCUUUUAUGCAGGCGGGCACUUGUUUGCUGUAAUUGCUAUUGGAUUCUUCAGUCAUGCACAUGCACUUAGGUAUCCAAAACAUGAUCUUGUGUAGUAACAUGGGGCAUGCGGUAGAUUAAGUCUUUCUGCAUGAUUGAGCACAUUUACUAAGGUAAAGCUUAAAGGCCAGUUUAAGUAAUCGCAGCAGUUUUCUCUGGCAAAUUGCCAUCUGCUAGGUCGUAGGUACACAACAUUCAAAAUUAUUUUUUUCUCCAGUUUCUGCUAAUUUCUUGCAGCUAACGAGAGCCGUCCUAGUUAUUCUUUUCUUGGUUUCGUCUCCAAAACCACACGGGGCCAUGCUUUUUCUCUCCCCAACCUGGUAAUGAUCCAUUGCAAUGUUAAAUUCACAUCUGAAAAUGUACUAGCUCGAUUAUCAUGAACGACUGUCUUGUCUAGAUGAUGCUCUUUUCUGCGCGUCCAAUUCGAAGGAAGGAAGGAAGAUUCAUGCGACAGCCAACGGGCAUUGUCUGUGGUUGUUGGACGUGUUGCACGUUUGACGCGAGGUUGGUUUACUUUCCGCGAAUACUGCUGCCAUUGAAGAUCAGUCGGCAGUCUGACUUUGAUUUUUUUUUUUUUUUUUUACUAACGACUGCUAAUCCUCCCAUGGAGGGAAAACCAUCCAACUAUACUAAUUGUUGUUUGUGACCCAAUCUCGUGUGUGUCAAUUUCUUGAUUGUCAAAAGGGAUGGAACAUAAAGACUAGGACUCAAUUCCUGUUUAACACCCCCUAUGGCUUGACAGGAGGAGGGAAAAAAGCAGUGGAGGAGGCAGGCAUACAUGGUACAGGACUAAUGACUUGUCCACUGACUUUGGGUAUUGACUCUCAAGUCUCACCCAUUGGAGGCAAGAAAGCAGCAUGAGUUGCUUGGUCCAUCAAAUUGCCUGGUGGGGUGGAAAGUGGAAAGUGGGAAGUGGGAUUUGUGUGAGUCCUACUACUUAAUAGUGCAUAAUCAUUUUGUGCAUUGUAUGGCUAUAUCCCAUUACCUAGUUGCACAAAUUGAGAUGGUAUGCAAGCCAAGCCAACUGGUGUGUCACUUAAAUGAUACCAGAUUUGGUUAUUGAAUAAAAUUUUCAUAUUGGGUUUUGAACUUUUGAUACAAAUAAAAUUCCAAAUUCACGUAUAAAUGAGUUAAGCUACUUGAGUUUGAAUUAAAGUUGGCUUGAUAAAAUAAAAAUCGGUUGGAGUUCAACGAGAAGGAUGCUAAGGUGCUCGGCUCCGGAGUAGAAGUCCAAUUCUUGAGACAGCUUACAAUUUUAUUUUUUUUUUUUAAAAAAAAGAAGAGAAGAGAGAGAGAGAGAGAGAGAGAGAGAGAGAGAGAGAGAGAGAAAUUGUUCUGGAGGAAGAGAGUAUAAAGAGACUGUAUAAGGAACUAACAGAUAUAUAGACUCAAUAAAUCAAAUGAGUGUUCUAGUAUCUCUUUUAAAUUUUUUUCAUUGUAGGUGAGAUUCGAACCCCUGACUUGCAGUUCAAAGAGAGAUUUAUUCACUUUUUUAUGGCCACUGAUGAUUUACAUCACACUUAAUUUCUCUUUUUAUGAAAAAAUUGGUUGGACAUAUAUCUACUUAUCUAAGACUAAGAGCUGCUUCUAGCAUUGAACAUCAAAGACGAAAUUUUUCAUCUAUGAUUGAACACUCCAAAUCAUUAAAAUUUGAUAGGGUAGGAGAAUCUUGCCUCCCACCAAUUGAUACAUUAAGGUACUAUGGUUAAAAAAUUUAGACGGGUGUAUAAUGUAUCCAUCUGGUCCAAUAUAAAUUAUAUAAUUAUCGUUUUGAAAAAAAAAAAAAAGAACACCCAAUAGAAAGAGAAAGAGAAAAAGAAAAAGAAAAAUGAAAAAAUGUAAGGAGGAGAAGAAAACAAAUUACUCUUUUUAACUUUUUGUUAGCGACUGACUAAUGAACUGCCCAUCCAUCCAAAUGUUCUUGCACAAACGUCACCUAAGCAUAAGCUUUUUUUUUUUUUUUGGGAGAAAAACCUGAGCCCUAAUUCGAAACUUGUACUAUAUGCUAAAAAAGUUGCACUAAAAAUGUUAAAAUGCCGGUUGAGAAAUUAAUGUCUCGAGAAACAGGAGAGCAAUGGCAAUCACGGAAUCCCAGUGUCCCAUUCCUUAUUUGGUGUUAAAUUACUUCCUGAAUCAAUUUUUAGUUUUUACUUCUUCCUCUUCCACAGGGAGCGAUUCCCAGGCAAAUCAUUAAAAAGCGAAAAUCCCAGGUUAGAGUUUGAUCAUUCCCGCUGUUUACUACUUUUCUUUGCUGCAAACCUUUCAUAUGGAACUUCAAUGGCUGUAAAGCUUGCAUCUUUAGCAUUUUUAAAGAGAAUUCCCAAAAGGGUCAAUUUAAAUGCCUCUUUUUCUUCACUUUCAUGUGCAAAUGUUGUUCAUAUCAAUUCAGAAACUGAUCAUACUCCGUCAAAAUCUGCUGAUUUUGAGUCAAAGAUCCAAUUUUUAAAGAAUAAGCUUCAUCCAGAUAUCUUGGUCCAUGUCUUGGAUUCCACAACUGAUGUAAAUUCUUCGUUGAAAUUGUUCAAAUGGGCUUCACUUCAGAAAACGUUUAAGCAUAAUGUGGAUACUUAUUAUUUGAUGAUUUUGAAGUUGGGUUUGGCUGGAAAUAUUGAGGAAAUGGAGGGAUUUUGUAAUGAGAUGUUAAAGGAGAAAUGUCCUGGUUUUGAUGAAGCUUUCUUGGGAUUGAUUGAAUGUUUUGUUAGAAAUGAUAGGCUUGACGAGGCUUUGAGGGUUCUUUCUUGUAUGAAUUCAAGAAGUUUUAAGCCUUCAGUAAGUGUUUUUAAUAUAGUAAUGGGUGCACUUUUGGUGGCAAAGAGGGAUUUCAAGGAUGUAUUAUUUGUGUAUAAAGAAAUGGUGAAAGUAGGAAUUGUUCCCAACGUGGAGACUUUGAAUUACUUGUUGGAAGCGCUGUUAGAGGAUGAUAGGGUGGGUACAGCUUUGGAACAAUAUAGAAGGAUGAAUAAGAAAGGGUGUAGUCCUAAUAGUAGGACCUUCGAGGUUCUCAUUAGUGGACUUAUUGCCAGGGAAAGGAUCGAUGAAUCUUUG
This 6344-nucleotide long non-coding RNA is filed under the name Coffea arabica (coffee). RNAcentral's name for it is "long non-coding RNA (CARA_LNC001400)". Lineage: Eukaryota; Viridiplantae; Streptophyta; Magnoliopsida; Gentianales; Rubiaceae. The record is from RNAcentral.